Long non-coding RNA from Helicoverpa zea (corn earworm), 423 nucleotides. RefSeq lists it as uncharacterized. The transcript has 2 exons. The record is from RefSeq and is a predicted model, not a curated record. Lineage: Eukaryota; Metazoa; Arthropoda; Insecta; Lepidoptera; Noctuidae.
AUCAGCUGCCGGAGGAACUCCAGGUUCAAACCUGGCACGUAUUCCUCCACUGAUUGUGUUUCAUCUGCAUCUUCCUGUAAAUAUAUUGGAUGUCGGCGUCGCCGCGGCACAGCGCGCACUGCUCGGCGCCGCAGCGGCCGCCGCAGGUGUCGCCGGUAGCCGCACCAUUCUCCGGCGAGUGAAGCUUGCCGUUUUUCGUCACCUGAAGGAAUUAUGUUUUGUUAUUGAAUGCACGAGAGGCGUGACAAGAGAAUUGGCGUCAUAUUAUGUACAAGAAAUUCGAAAUAUUUUUUUUAUUUUUUUCAAUUGUCAAAGCUGUUAACACUAUUGUCUCUACGUGCUGGUCUGAAUGGACCUUAGCGCUGCACAUGUUAUUCAGAAAAAGAUCUGAAUUUCUAAUUAAAAAACAGGCUGAACAACCAA